CCCCCCCCCCCACCUACCAAUCUAACUACCGUUCCCCCCCCCCACCUACCAAUCUAACUACCGUUCCCCCCCCCCACCUACCAAUCUAACUACCGUUUACUACCGUAUUAAACAUCCUGCCAUUUGACAGGUUGAUUAAAGUCAGACAGGUUUAUAACCUUUUGCCAUAUUAUCUUUCUCUCAACACUCUGUUCUAUUUUACUAUUUUCUGAAUACAUACUCAAUACUCUAAACAAGUGUGUGCUUUGACAUUUAGGAAAAGUGUGGAUGUUGUGAACGCGUCUGCAUAUUUAUUCUGUUUUCGGGCUACAGGAACCCUGUGCUUGAGUCCCAUCUGUUGAUAUAGUGUACCACACAUCCCUUUCAUAUACAGACAAAUCCCCCUAUUUUAACAGCUUUUUAUACCAGCUCUUUUGUAUAUCUGAAAGGGGUAGUGGGUAAAAAAAAACAAGGAGAAAUAAAACCCACCUAAAGACCUAGUUGCGAUUCCUGCAUUUUCACAGACCCUGUAACCAACAUGCAGGUAUCAGGUCUGUGCGAAUGCUUCUCUGCUUUUUUUGUAGGUAAAUUCAUUAACACUUCCAUUGUUUAACACCUCCCUAACUUGAAAAGCAACCAGCCCCCAUGGUUUAACAACUCCCCACCCCUCCCAGUUUGCCAGUUACCCACUGAUCUGUAUUAAAGGGGUGUACCUGCAGGAAAGUGGUCAAUAAGGGGCUCAUAUAAACAUUACCUUUUCUUUUUUACAGGCAAUAUACCACGUCUUCUGUCUGAAAUGGAUAGAAUAGAUGGAAUAGUUGUUUCUCUAUAGAGUUCACUAUGGACAGCUGUCAACUCUGGGCCAACCCCUCUCAUACACACCUGAGCCCCGGUUCACUAUGUAUGGUUAGACUCAGGUGUAACAUCCAACGAGCAGUAAUUCUAACCAGGCAACUAAAAAUUAAGACACGUUUUAAAGACAUUACACAGGAUACAGUUAUUAUACUAUAUACAUAUUACAUCUCACCCUUACUUACUCCUCAUCAUAUAGGAUCUUACUACUGGUGUCCCCCAGGACUAUGUACUAGGUCCUCUAAUAUCUCACUACUGGUGUCCCCCAGGGCUCAGUACUAGGUCCUCUUUAAUGUCUCAUUACUGGUGUCCCCCAGGGCUCAGUACUAGGUCCUCUUUAAUGUCUCAUUACUGGUGUCCCCCAGGGCUCAGUACUAGGUCCUCUUUAAUGUCUCAUUACUGGUGUCCCCCAGGGCUCAGUACUAGGUCCUUUUUAAUCGAUCCUACAUCAAUCUGAUGCCAAACCAGUCUAUCCUGCUUUAACUGCAGAACAUAAACAUUUUGCCCAAAGCUGUCUGAUAAUAUUGAACUUUACUAUUUUUGACAUAACUUUUCUAUGUUUCUUAUUCCUUCGUUUUAUUAUAAAAACCGCUUCAUUUGUUUCCUGAGCCUGUUUCUUUUUCCUAUCUAUUUGUUGCCUGUUGUGUCCUGAGUGAAUGGUUGAAUGGCAAAUUUUUAUACCUUACAGCCAACCAACCCAAGGCCUGCAUGUUUCUCUCUAUGCUCCAUCCAGGUCUAGGAUUGGUCAAUUACGGAAACUUCGCCAGGAUUCCAGAUUUCCUGCUGAUUUCUUCCAACUGGGAUUUCUGGGAAAAACCUGGGAAUUUUGGGAAGGUUACCGGAAAUGUCUUACAGUCUCCUCUUUUGCCGACAGGGUUCAAAGUGUUUUAGAGGGUGCGUCCGAAAUGGCCCCCUAUUUCCUAUAUUAGUGCACUACUUUAGACCAGGGCUCUGGUCAAAAUAAGGGCACUAUAUAGGGAAUGUGUGCAGAGUGUACAGUCAGUGUGUGGGUCAUCAGUGGAUGUCGGAGGCCUAUUCUCUACGACACUGGCAACCCAAAGGCUUUUAUUUUGUUUUCAAAAAACACAAGGUGUCAAAGUGUUUCCUGUUCGUGGUGGUAGAUAUCUAUUUAGCACAUUUUUACAAAAACAAAUACAAAAAAUAUUAUUGGUAUUAUUAGUUGUAUUUAUUAUUAUUAUUAUUAUUAUUAUUAUUAUUAUUAUUAUUAUUGUAAUAUAUCUGUGGCACAGCACUGACGAUGACAACAUGGUGUGUAGUGCUACUGAUUGAGAUUGUAUGAUACUUAGGUUUAAACCAUUUAUAAAAUGUGUGAUUGAUACUCCUGAGUAUUUUUUAACAAAAACUAAUAUAAGGGUCUGUUUACAUGUUAUAUGAUCCCUUUUUAUGCUUCAGGUUUCAUCUGCUUCAAACACUUUACAUUCUGUAAAAAGGUUUCAUCUGCUUCAAACACUUUACAUUCUGUAAAAAAGGUUAUCUGCUUCAAACACUUUACAUUCUGUAAAAAAGGUUUCAUCUGCUUCAAACACUUUACAUUCUGUAAAAAAGGUUUCAUCUGCUUCAAACACUUUACAUUCUGUAAAAUGGUUUCAUCUGCUUCAAACACUACAUUCUGUAAAAAGGUUCAUCUGCUUCAAACACUACAUUCUGUAAAAAAUCUUUCAUCUGCUUCAAACACUACAUUCUGUAAAAAAUCUUUCAUCUGCUUCAAACACUUUACAUUCUGUAAAAAGGUUUCAUCUGCUUCAAACACUUUACAUUCUGUAAAGAAUCAAAUUAAAAUGGUUUUGUUUAGGCUUGCAAAAUUCAAAUAACUUUUUUCAUAAUUCUCACGUUUUCCAGAAGUACCGUUGUAAAAUGUACAAAAGUAGGAGGGAAUAAGCAGCAAAUACAGACUUCACAAGGAUUUCAGGAAAAUCUGGGAAUUUUUGGAAAGUUACCAGAAUUUUGCAACCCUGUCUUUUGUUGUUGUCGUUGUUCUUGGUACUUUACAGUAGUAGCCUAGUGGUUCCUCAUUAGGUAUCAUGCAUCUUUCCUAGCCUGCGUACCAGUCUGUUUGUGCCAUCCUGCCACUCUUUGAUACCCAAGCUACACAAUUCCUUGAACUGUCCUAGAACAG
Oncorhynchus mykiss (rainbow trout) is the source of this 2968-nucleotide non-coding RNA. The record is from RefSeq and is a predicted model, not a curated record. NCBI's taxonomy places the organism in Eukaryota, Metazoa, Chordata, Actinopteri, Salmoniformes, Salmonidae.